AGAAUCAACGCUGGCGGCGUGCCUAACACAUGCAAGUCGCACGAGAAAGGGUAGCAAUACCUGAGUAAAGUGGCGCACGGGUGAGUAACACGUGAAUUAUCUACCUCCGAGUGGGAAAUAACUGAGAGAAAUCUUAGCUAAUACCGCAUAACACUUACGAGUCAAAGCAGCAAUGCGCUUGGAGAGGAGUUCGCGGCAGAUUAGUUAGUUGGCGGGGUAAUGGCCCACCAAGACGAUGAUCUGUA
RNAcentral lists this ribosomal RNA (245 nucleotides) under uncultured bacterium. Its description in RNAcentral is "partial small subunit ribosomal RNA". It matches the Rfam family "Bacterial small subunit ribosomal RNA", at positions 26 to 285 of the family's 1533-position model. The record is from RNAcentral.